This 512-nucleotide ribosomal RNA is filed under the name uncultured bacterium. Its description in RNAcentral is "bacterial SSU rRNA". It matches the Rfam family "Bacterial small subunit ribosomal RNA", at positions 34 to 518 of the family's 1533-position model. The record is from RNAcentral.
CGCUGGCGGCGUGCCCUAAUACAUGCAAGUCGAACGGUCUUUCUAUGGAAGCUUGCUUCCACUGAGAAGAUAGUGGCGGACGGGUGAGUAACACGUGGGUAACCUGCCCAUAAGAGGGGGAUAACAUCCGGAAACGGGUGCUAAUACCGCAUAGUUUUCUUGAUCGCAUGAUCGAGAAAGGAAAGACGGCCUUUGUGCUGUCGCUUAUGGAUGGACCCGCGGCGUAUUAGUUAGUUGGUGAGGUAAUGGCUCACCAAGACGAUGAUACGUAGCCGACCUGAGAGGGUGAUCGGCCACAUUGGGACUGAGACACGGCCCAAACUCCUACGGGAGGCAGCAGUAGGGAAUCUUCCGCAAUGGACGAAAGUCUGACGGAGCAACGCCGCGUGAGUGAAGAAAGGUUUUCGGAUCGUAAAACUCUGUUGUCAGAGAAGAACAAGUCGGAGAGUAACUGCUCCGGCCUUGACGGUAUCUGACCAGAAAGCCACGGCUAACUACGUGCCAGCCGCAGC